GAUGAACGCUGGCGGCGUGCCUAAUACAUGCAAGUCGAGCGAACAGACGAGGAGCUUGCUCCUUUGACGUUAGCGGCGGACGGGUGAGUAACACGUGGGUAACCUACCUAUAAGACUGGGAUAACUUCGGGAAACCGGAGCUAAUACCGGAUAAUAUUUCGAACCGCAUGGUUCGAUAGUGAAAGAUGGCUUUGCUAUCACUUAUAGAUGGACCUGCGCCGUAUUAGCUAGUUGGUAAGGUAACGGCUUACCAAGGCAACGAUACGUAGCCGACCUGAGAGGGUGAUCGGCCACACUGGAACUGAGACACGGUCCAGACUCCUACGGGAGGCAGCAGUAGGGAAUCUUCCGCAAUGGGCGAAAGCCUGACGGAGCAACGCCGCGUGAGUGAUGAAGGUCUUCGGAUUGUAAAACUCUGUUAUUAGGGAAGAACAAACGUGUAAGUAACUGUGCACGUCUUGACGGUACCUAAUCAGAAAGCCACGGCUAACUGCGUGCCAGCAGCCGCGGUAAUACGUAGGUGGCAAGCGUUAUCCGGAAUUAUUGGGCGUAAAGCGCGCGUAGGCGGUUUUUUAAGUCUGAUGUGAAAGCCCACGGCUCAACCGUGGAGGGUCAUUGGAAACUGGAAAACUUGAGUGCAGAAGAGGAAAGUGGAAUUCCAUGUGUAGCGGUGAAAUGCGCAGAGAUAUGGAGGAACACCAGUGGCGGAGGCGACUUUCUGGUCUGUAACUGACGCUGAUGUGCGAAAGCGUGGGGACCAAACAGGAUUAGAUACCCAGGUAGUCCACGCCGUAAACGAUGAGUGCUAAGUGUUAGGGGGUUUCCGCCCCUUAGUGCUGCAGCUAACGCAUUAAGCACUCCGCCUGGGGAGUACGACCGCAAGGUUGAAACUCAAAGGAAUUGACGGGGACCCGCACAAGCGGUGGAGCAUGUGGUUUAAUUCGAAGCAACGCGAAGAACCUUACCAAAUCUUGACAUCCUUUGACCCUUCUAGAGAUAGAAGUUUCCCCUUCGGGGGACAAAGUGACAGGUGGUGCAUGGUUGUCGUCAGCUCGUGUCGUGAGAUGUUGGGUUAAGUCCCGCAACGAGCGCAACCCUUAAGCUUAGUUGCCAUCAUUAAGUUGGGCACUCUAAGUUGACUGCCGGUGACAAACCGGAGGAAGGUGGGGAUGACGUCAAAUCAUCAUGCCCCUUAUGAUUUGGGCUACACACGUGCUACGAUGGACAAUACAAAGGGCAGCGAAACCGCGAGGUCAAGCAAAUCCCAUAAAGUUGUUCUCAGUUCGGAUUGUAGUCUGCAACUCGACUACAUGAAGCUGGAAUCGCUAGUAAUCGUAGAUCAGCAUGCUACGGUGAAUACGUUCCCGGGUCU
Molecule: ribosomal RNA, 1372 nt
Filed under: uncultured bacterium
Lineage: Bacteria
Description: bacterial SSU rRNA
Rfam family: Bacterial small subunit ribosomal RNA
Source: RNAcentral